Molecule: ribosomal RNA, 433 nt
Filed under: uncultured bacterium
Lineage: Bacteria
Description: partial 16S ribosomal RNA
Rfam family: Bacterial small subunit ribosomal RNA
Source: RNAcentral
AACGAACGCUGGCGGCAUGCCUAACACAUGCAAGUCGAACGAGACCUUCGGGGCUAGUGGCGCACGGGUGCGUAACGCGUGGGAACCUGCCCUUAGGUUCGGAAUAACUCCCCGAAAGGGGUGCUAAUACCGGAUAAUGUCUUCGGACCAAAGAUUUAUCGCCUUUGGAUGGGCCCGCGUUGGAUUAGCUAGUUGGUAGGGUAAAAGCCUACCAAGGCGACGAUCCAUAGCUGGUCUGAGAGGAUGAUCAGCCACACUGGGACUGAGACACGGCCCAGACUCCUACGGGAGGCAGCAGUGGGGAAUAUUGGACAAUGGGCGAAAGCCUGAUCCAGCAAUGCCGCGUGAGUGAUGAAGGCCUUAGGGUUGUAAAGCUCUUUUACCCGGGAUGAUAAUGACGGUACCGGGAGAAUAAGCUCCGGCUAACUCCGUG